AGGUGGCAAGCGUUGUCCGGAAUUAUUGGGCGUAAAGCGCGCGCAGGCGGUCCUUUAAGUCUGAUGUGAAAGCCCACGGCUCAACCGUGGAGGGUCAUUGGAAACUGGGGGACUUGAGUGCAGAAGAGGAAAGCGGAAUUCCACGUGUAGCGGUGAAAUGCGUAGAGAUGUGGAGGAACACCAGUGGCGAAGGCGGCUUUCUGGUCUGUAACUGACGCUGAGGCGCGAAAGCGUGGGGAACAAACAGGAUUAGAUACCCUGGUAGUCCACGCCGUAAACGAUGAGUGCUAAGUGUUAGAGGGUUUCCGCCCUUUAGUGCUGCAGCUAACGCAUUAAGCACUCCGCCUGGGGAGUACGGCCGCAAGGCUGAAACUCAAAGGAAUUGACGG
Molecule: ribosomal RNA, 389 nt
Filed under: uncultured bacterium
Lineage: Bacteria
Description: bacterial SSU rRNA
Rfam family: Bacterial small subunit ribosomal RNA
Source: RNAcentral